CCGUAUGCGCCCUUCGGGGGAAAGAUUUGUCGGACAUGGAUGAGCCCGCGUUGGAUUAUCUGCUUGGUGGGGUGGAGGCCUACCCUGGCGACUAUCCGUAGCUGGUCUGACAGGAUGAUCAGCCACCCUGGGACUGACACACGGCCCAGACUCCUACCGGAGGCACCGAUGGGGAAUAUUGAACCAUGGGCGCAGGCCUGAUCCAGCCUUGCCGCGUGUGUGAUGAAGGCCCUAGGGUUGUCACGCACUUUCGCCGGACAACAUUAUGACUGUAUCCCGAUAACAAUCCCCGGCUAACUUCGUGCCCGCAGCCUCGGUAAUACGAACGGGGCUAGCGUUGUUCGGAUUUACUGGGCGUACAGCGCACGUAGGCGGACUAUUAAGUCAUGGGUGAAAUCCCGGGGCUCAGCCCCGGAACUGCCUUUGAUACUGGUAGUCUUGAUUUCCACAGAGGUGACUGGAAUUCCGAGUGUACAGGUGAGAUUCAUAGAUGUUCGGAGGACCACCAGUGGCGAAGGCGGCUCACUGUCUCGAUACUGACGCU
This 544-nucleotide ribosomal RNA is filed under the name soil bacterium Siso-S2T-M1LLLSSL-1. Its description in RNAcentral is "bacterial SSU rRNA". It matches the Rfam family "Bacterial small subunit ribosomal RNA", at positions 169 to 747 of the family's 1533-position model. The record is from RNAcentral.